This 212-nucleotide unclassified non-coding RNA is filed under the name uncultured fungus. Its description in RNAcentral is "sequence contains ITS1, 5.8S rRNA gene". The record is from RNAcentral. Lineage: Eukaryota; Fungi.
AAAGUUUGUGCGAGGCGACCCCUGGCUCUGCCAGGUGGCCCCUUAGACAUCAACACCCUCUGUAUAUCUACCGCGUUGCUUUGGCGGGACGGCAGCCAGCAGGCCUACUGGGAAGCUGUCCGCAGGGCCUUUUAAGGCCCCGCGAGCGCCCGCCAGAGAGCCGUCAAACUCAUGUUAAACCGUGAUGUCUGAGCUUUACAAGCAAUAAAUUA